This 394-nucleotide ribosomal RNA is filed under the name uncultured bacterium. RNAcentral's name for it is "partial 16S ribosomal RNA". It matches the Rfam family "Bacterial small subunit ribosomal RNA", at positions 338 to 729 of the family's 1533-position model. The record is from RNAcentral.
CCUACGGGUGGCAGCAGUGAGGAAUAUUGGUCAAUGGACGCAAGUCUGAACCAGCCAUGUAGCGUGCAGGAUGACGGCCCUAUGAGUUGUAAACUGCUUUUGUAUGAGGGUAAACUGUGACACGCGUAGGAGUUUGUAAGUACCGUAUGAAUAAGGAUCGGCUAACUCCGUGCCAGCAGCCGCGGUAAUACGGAGGAUUCAAGCGUUAUCCGGAUUUAUUGGGUUUAAAGGGUGCGUAGGCGGUCUGUUAAGUCAGUGGUGAAAGUCCGCGGCUCAACCUUGAAAUUGCAGUUGAUACUGUCCGUCUAGAGUGUAGUAGCGGUAGGCGGAAUGUGUGGUGUAGCGGUGAAAUGCUUAGAGAUCACGCAGAACACCGAUUGCGAAGGCAGCUUAC